GUGAAUCAUCAAAUCUUUGAACGCAAAUUGCACUCUCUGGUAUUCCGGGGAGUAUGCUUGCUUGAGGGUUAGUUUGUUACAAUUGUAAAAAGAAAUUUUUAUGGAACUGGAUUUUCUAAAAGCUAUAUUUUUGGUAACUUAAAAUAUAUCAUCACAAUAGGUGAUAUUGGAAACGCUUAUUUUUGUUUUAUUAACAAUUAUUACUAAAUUUGUUAUGUCGUGUUAUUUUCUUAAUUUCUUAUUUAGGUACAAGCAAUACAAUUUUUUUUAUGAUAUCUGACCUUAAGUUAAGUAAGAAUA
Molecule: unclassified non-coding RNA, 300 nt
Filed under: Acaulospora lacunosa
Lineage: Eukaryota; Fungi; Glomeromycota; Glomeromycetes; Diversisporales; Acaulosporaceae
Description: partial contains 5.8S ribosomal RNA and internal transcribed spacer 2
Rfam family: 5.8S ribosomal RNA (bases 1-71)
Source: RNAcentral